This is a long non-coding RNA of Numida meleagris (helmeted guineafowl), 3429 nucleotides long. RefSeq lists it as uncharacterized. The transcript is spliced from 3 exons. Lineage: Eukaryota; Metazoa; Chordata; Aves; Galliformes; Numididae. The record is from RefSeq and is a predicted model, not a curated record.
GAAUACUCUGCCUCUAGACUGUCUGUUUUUGAAAAGGUGACUGCUGAUGACAGCUAAGAUAACAAGAGGGUGGUAUUUUUUUUUUCUUCAUGAGCACGCCUCCGGUUCUAUUAAUAAAAUCCUGAAUUUGACUAGUCCUUCUGAGAACUCCCGGCCUCUCUCACCCAUUCAAAACUGUAUUUUUAAGCUGUUGUAGGUGGAUUGUCGACAAUGGUUGUUAUGCAAACUCUGAGCACUGGCUUCAGGAGCUUCUUGGAAACCUGCAAUGAGUAAUCUUCGUAUUUCUGCCAGGUCUACAUAGAGGGAGGGUGCAGUUUUGCCACAGGCAUAGCAUGCAGACGCAUCUCCUGAGCCCCCUUUACUCCAGCAGCAGGAAGUCAGCAACGCUUCCCUCCUCUCUCUGUACAGGGAGGGCUGUUCAGAUUUUUCUCCUCUUCUCCCCUUCCAUAUGGGGAAGAAUAAAGUGAAGAAACAACAUUUUCAGAGAAGAAAGACUUGGAAAGAGUUUCUGUUUUCUGGGAGUCUGCUACAGCUGUUAAUUUGUGGAAAACCUCAGUGGAAAGUAAGCAAUAUGGCAGCAUCGCUUUACACGAGAAUUCAGUGAUGGCCAUGCUCCAAGCCGUGGCUGAUUUAGGUUCUUGGCUUGCAUAGCCAAAGCUUCAUGUAGUGUCAUGCUUUUUUAUAGAUAAUGUUGAUGCAGCUGUGGAAGGCUCUGAUGUUCAUUUUUUUUAACAUGGAAUUGUCGUCAUUCAAUCAAGCUUAAGUAUUGUGGAGCUGCGAUGUUGUUUGUCUUUGGUUGUUAGAUGUUGGCGGGUGAGUCCGAGACAGGCUGAGAUGUUGUUUGGGAAAAAGAAAAGACUCCCGCCCUUCCUCCUCGCCUUCUCCACAGAAAUGCACACAGUCCAUAACUUCCAUCCAAAAAUGCAGGAAUGCUGAGGAAAAUUGGAGCUGGACUCAAACAUUGUGGGCUGGCCCCCCCCGCCUGUCCAAAGCAUGCACGCUCUUCUCUUCCUGUAGACUUUGUUCCUCUCCAGCAUUUGUCAUGCAUAGUUGGUGGCAUAUCAAGAUUUUGAAUACUGUACUGAAUGCAACAGCCUCUUUUUUUCUUGGAUGGACAUUUUGUUUGUGGGGAAUACAGCAUGGUGCUCAGCUGUCUGGGCAGAAAUGAACAUUGAAUGAAAUGAAAUUUUCAGCUAUGUGACAGCUAUUAGAUCAGAGAUUAGUUUUCCAGUAGAAAUGUCCAAUUAUUUAAACCGCUCCAGUAGAUGAAAGAGCUUUUGACAAUCUGUUUUGCUGAAAAGCCCUGCAAUUCGUUUGGCAUAGAUUAGAUGACCUAUUAGAGAUGAGAAAAAGGGAAAAGGAUUUAUAAUUAAUGUCAGCCCAGCUGUUAACUUGGGGAGUAUCGCUGAGUUGUAGCACAAGACAUAUCCUUCAGCUAUUUCUACAUUGACGAUUCAUGUGUAUAUUGCAGCGUGUGUCAGCAGCCUUCCGUGCAGCUGUGCUUUGUUGCAGGGACUAGAGUUCCCCAUUCCUAGGUAGUGCAUUAGCAUGCACUGCUGCUUCUCCAAGGCUCUGCCUCCUUUUCAAAGGCAGGCUUUUAUGAAUGGGUAAGCCCCAUGUUUUUCCAGUGCUACCUUGUCACACAAUGACUGAUCCACUCACCUCCUUAUCUCUGGGCCAUAUGACUUACUUUGAGUGUACCUUCCUUGCCAACUUAACUAGGUAUCGUGUUUCUUUCCCUGAAGGUGACUUAGGGCAGAAUCCUUGAAUCCUCCAGGGUUUUCUGGAGCAUCUGGAAAGAAGAGGAAAACCAGAGAUUGGCCAGAAAGAGGCAGGCAGAGAAAGAUGAAAGAAUUUGGGGGUGGGAAGCACUUGCUUUUGGAAUGAUCUUCCUCCUGGCUGGCCUAAGGCAAAGUAAUUUACACUUUUCAGCAACAUGCAGAAUGGCCCAGCCCAUGCUCUUAUGAGUAAACAUUUCAAAGGUGCCUGCAGGGCCCCCUAUUUAUGUUUUUAUAAGCUACUUAGUCUCCCUUUGAGUCUCAGGAUAUAUCCCUACUGCCAAUAGUGGAGUUAGCUCAAAGUGCAGUAGUGUCUUUUGGAGACACCUGAGCUAGACUGAAGCAGCUCAUCUGCUAGAAGUAGUUUACUCACAGCAGUGCAUGUGUCAAAGCACUGUACCUGCCUGCUGCGUUAUCUUGUCCUGUGCCAACUCUUGUUUCAAAUAAAGGCUUUCACUGCAACUCCACCUUCUCUGCAGCCCGCUGAGCCCACUGAAGCUCAAGGACAUAGCACAGUCACGGCAGGGUAUGGGGUUCAGGAGCUGGAGCCACUUUGGUACUUUUGAAAACUUUUUAUACAGCUGAGCCCACAUUCCCUGUUAGCACUGUUAAAUGCUUUCCUGUUUUCCUCUUCCCCUUGAACUCACACUGCUGUUCUAACCGAGUAUCGUGUUUUGUUUCUAAUGACAGAGCAAAGGUGCCAAAAUAUUUCAGCAGCUCCCCUAGGAACAUCUGCAACUUCUUUAGCUAUUUUCACAGCUGGCCAUAACUUUAUGUUAUUUUUGAAUGCUUGUAGUACCAAAUCUGGGAUCCUGGAGGAGAACAAUGGCUAAUUUCCUUGUAUCGGAAUUUAGAAUUUGCAAAAAGAUGCACUAGCAACUUUGAGUAAAUGCUGAGGAGCAGAGCUAUGAGGGAUUUCGUCAUUUGAAAGGCAGAGUUGCUAAAUUCCAAACAGAGCUUAGACUGGUCUUCUGACACAGGGUAAAGCUGGGGUUUGGUAAGGUCAAAACUUACAGAAAUUUCAACUGAUAGAGCAACAGCUGCUGGAAUUCAUGCUGCCCAUGUAGCCUCCAGUGUGGCUGCUGUCAUCUUUGAUGGAAAUAGGAAGAGUAAAUUCUUACAGCUCUAAUGUGAGACUGAGUUCUUGGGACCGGAAUUAAGCCUGGAAGUUUGAACUUCCACCCAGUAAAAUUCCUGUGGACCUUUAAUUGCAGCUCUGAUUUAUUACCUGCUAGUUGUGCUUAGCUGGUCUAAAAGUGAAAACAAACUCAAGGUAUUUGAUCAUUAUAUUGAUCUAUCGCUCAUAAUCUGUGCUGCACCUCUUCACUCCUAUACUGGUCUAGCAAAACGUGUAAAAAAUAUGCUGGAAAGAUUCCAGCUUAUUUAACCACUAAGAAAUGUAUUAGAAGCAAAGAAGUCUGAGGCUUAUCUCAGUCACAACAACUGCACCCUGACCCCCAGUGAGUAAUAGGCUGUGCCGUUUCUUGAGGAGGCAGAUCUGCAGCUGUGAUAUGAACAUGUUUGAGAGUAGUGCUUGCAGGCUGAGGAACAGAGAAUAGAAUCAUUAAAGUUGGAAAAGAUCUCUAAGAUCACCUAGUCAAACCAUCAACCCAUCCCCACCAUGCCCACUAACCAUGUCGCUCAGUGCCAC